GACGAACGCUGGCGGCGUGCUUAACACAUGCAAGUCGAACGGAAAGGCCCUGCUUUUGUGGGGUGCUCGAGUGGCGAACGGGUGAGUAACACGUGAGUAACCUGCCCUUGACUUUGGGAUAACUUCAGGAAACUGGGGCUAAUACCGGAUAGGAGCUCCUGCUGCAUGGUGGGGGUUGGAAAGUUUCGGCGGUUGGGGAUGGACUCGCGGCUUAUCAGCUUGUUGGUGGGGUAGUGGCUUACCAAGGCUUUGACGGGUAGCCGGCCUGAGAGGGUGACCGGCCACAUUGGGACUGAGAUACGGCCCAGACUCCUACGGGAGGCAGCAGAGGGGAAUAUUGCACAAUGGGCGGAAGCCUGAUGCAGCAACGCCGUGUGCGGGAUGACGGCCUUCGGGUUGUAAACCGCUUUCGCCUGUGACGAAGCGUGAGUGACGGUAAUGGGUAAAGAAGCACCGGCUAACUACGUG
This 468-nucleotide ribosomal RNA is filed under the name uncultured bacterium. Its description in RNAcentral is "partial 16S ribosomal RNA". It matches the Rfam family "Bacterial small subunit ribosomal RNA", at positions 28 to 507 of the family's 1533-position model. The record is from RNAcentral.